CAGCCGCCGCGGUAAUACGUAGGUGGCAAGCGUUGUCCGGAAUUAUUGGGCGUAAAGGGCUCGCAGGCGGUUUCUUAAGUCUGAUGUGAAAGCCCCCGGCUCAACCGGGGAGGGUCAUUGGAAACUGGGAAACUUGAGUGCAGAAGAGGAGAGUGGAAUUCCACGUGUAGCGGUGAAAUGCGUAGAGAUGUGGAGGAACGCCAGUGGCGAAGGCGACUCUCUGGUCUGUAACUGACGCUGAGGAGCGAAAGCGUGGGGAGCGAACAGGAUUAGAUACCCCAGUAGUCCCUGUCUCUUAUAA
This 301-nucleotide ribosomal RNA is filed under the name uncultured bacterium. RNAcentral describes it as "partial 16S ribosomal RNA". It matches the Rfam family "Bacterial small subunit ribosomal RNA", at positions 509 to 809 of the family's 1533-position model. The record is from RNAcentral.